Long non-coding RNA from Amblyraja radiata (thorny skate), 819 nucleotides. RefSeq lists it as uncharacterized. The record is from RefSeq and is a predicted model, not a curated record. NCBI's taxonomy places the organism in Eukaryota, Metazoa, Chordata, Chondrichthyes, Rajiformes, Rajidae. The transcript has 3 exons.
AUUACUGUAUGGGCAAAGGGGUAUGACUGUAUGGGCAGGGUCAAGGAGAUGUGUCCGGAGCCAAGGUCUUAUUUGAUUCAAUCUGGCGGACGUCUCCAGAGACAUAUUCUGCCAGUAAAUGAGCCGGUGCCAUUGAGGCAGGUUCAGUAUGAUUAUGUAGAUGACCCAGAUGAUGUGUAUGUGACAGCAGACGGUGAGCAGUCGUGGGAUCAGGACUUUGUUUCUGCACCUGCAAAAGGACUGCCAAUGGGACUGGUGCCGAUGAUGAUGAAUCCUGUAAAGCCUGUCGACAAAUCCCCUGCAAAACCUGCGCUGGUUGAGUCGUUGUCGCUGCUAAGAAACUCCCGAUGGAGGCCGUGCCUGUGCAACAUCUCCUGUGAGAGGCACGGCUGAAGGCCUGUACCGUACAUGUGCAGGACAGGUCAGCAAGCCCGUGGCCAGAUACGGGGAUUAUAUCUAGAUGCAGAUCUUGGACUCUAAACUAUAACCCACGUUACUUAUAUUCCUUGCAAUGUAUCCUCCAUUGCUUUACUGUAGAUGAUAGUUAAUUUUAUAGCUUUAUAUACAUAUUACUUCUGCAUGCUUUAUGUUUGCCCUCUGGGCUGAAGCCUAAGAAGGGGGAUGUAGAUCGAACAGUAUUGCUGAUUUGUUCCGUGUCUGGUUUUGCUGCUGACCUAAUCCAUAAUACAUGUCGGGUUUCCACACUACCACCUAGUGGCAUGCGGGCAGCCCUGUUAGUCAGUUCAACAUGACUCCCAGCCUACAGUACUCAUUUUGAUGGUCUCUGUAUGUAUUCUAAUUAAAGUACUUGUUAUGAUA